RNAcentral lists this ribosomal RNA (164 nucleotides) under uncultured bacterium. Its description in RNAcentral is "partial 16S ribosomal RNA". It matches the Rfam family "Bacterial small subunit ribosomal RNA", at positions 359 to 524 of the family's 1533-position model. The record is from RNAcentral.
CGGAUGGGCAUGGGCGCAGCCUGACCCAGCCAUGCCGCGUGCAGGAUGACAGCCCUACGGGUUGUAAACUGCUUUUAUACGGGAAAAAACCCUCUGACGUGUCAGAGGCUGAUGGUACCGUAAGAAUAAGCAUCGGCUAACUCCGUGCCAGCAGCCGCGGUAAU